UACGAAGGGGGCUAGCGUUGCUCGGAAUCACUGGGCGUAAAGCGCACGUAGGCGGACUCUUAAGUCGGUGGUGAAAUCCUGGAGCUCAACUCCAGAACUGCCUUCGAUACUGAGAGUCUCGAGUCCGGGAUAGGUGAGUGGAACUGCGAGUGUAGAGGUGAAAUUCGUAGAUAUUCGCAAGAACACCAGUGGCGAAGGCGGCUCACUGGCCCGGUACUGACGCUGAGGUGCGAAAGCGUGGGGAGCAAACAGG
This 253-nucleotide ribosomal RNA is filed under the name uncultured bacterium. RNAcentral's name for it is "partial 16S ribosomal RNA". It matches the Rfam family "Bacterial small subunit ribosomal RNA", at positions 524 to 776 of the family's 1533-position model. The record is from RNAcentral.